Molecule: long non-coding RNA, 446 nt
Organism: Rhinichthys klamathensis goyatoka
Lineage: Eukaryota; Metazoa; Chordata; Actinopteri; Cypriniformes; Leuciscidae
Exons: 2
Source: RefSeq, a predicted model, not a curated record
GCUUUCAUGCGAGCUGGGAAUUUUACAGGAACAGAAACAAACAUCUAAAGAACAAGAGGUUGUAAAAGAAGAUAAUGAUAUUUCAUGAUAUCACAAACCUACCUCAUCUGUUACACGGUUGGCUUUACUUGUGAUCUCAUCCACUGACAUGUCUGCCAUGCUGCUGGAUUGGGAUUCUGCUGGCACAAAAACUUUACAUACACUUUGGGAAAAGUAGCCUAUACACUUCCUGAUUCAAAUGCCAGCAAGGUAGAGGAAAAAUCCACAAGAACUAACUUUAAAGAAAAGUUCACACUAUAUAUCAAUAGGGCUAUAUCAUCUAACCCUAGAUCCAGCCAUCACAAAUCCACUUCUGAUCUGGGAAAUUACAUUCUGAACAUGUUCACUAACAGGUAACACAAAAAGAGACAGAAUUAAAGCCUCAGUCACCAUUCACUUUUGUUAUA